This 520-nucleotide ribosomal RNA is filed under the name uncultured Glomus. RNAcentral's name for it is "SSU rRNA". It matches the Rfam family "Eukaryotic small subunit ribosomal RNA", at positions 569 to 1088 of the family's 1831-position model. Lineage: Eukaryota; Fungi; Glomeromycota; Glomeromycetes; Glomerales; Glomeraceae. The record is from RNAcentral.
AGCAGCCGCGGUAAUUCCAGCUCCAAUAGCGUAUAUUAAAGUUGUUGCAGUUAAAAAGCUCGUAGUUGAAUUUCGGGAUUAAUAUGUUGGUCGUGCCUUGGUACGUACUGGCAUUAUUGAUUCCUACCUUCUGAAGAACCUCGAUGUCAUUAAUUUGGUGUCUUGGGGAAUCAGGACCGUUAACUUUGAAAAAUUAGAGUGUUUAAAGCAGGCUCGCGCUUGAAUACAUUAGCAUGGAAUAAUGAAAUAGGACGUUUGAUUCUAUUUUGUUGGUUUCUAGGAUCGACGUAAUGAUUAAUAGGGAUAGUUGGGGGCAUUAGUAUUCAAUUGUCAGAGGUGAAAUUCUUGGAUUUAUUGAAGACUGACUACUGCGAAAGCAUUUGCCAAGGAUGUUUUCAUUAAUCAAGAACGAAAGUUAGGGGAUCGAAGACGAUCAGAUACCGUCGUAGUCUUAACCAUAAACUAUGCCGACUACGGGAUCGGGAUGAUUGUUAAUUUUUAAUGUACUCAUUCGGCGCCU